RNAcentral lists this ribosomal RNA (2906 nucleotides) under Klebsiella oxytoca. RNAcentral describes it as "23S ribosomal RNA". It matches the Rfam family "Bacterial large subunit ribosomal RNA". Lineage: Bacteria; Pseudomonadati; Pseudomonadota; Gammaproteobacteria; Enterobacterales; Enterobacteriaceae. The record is from RNAcentral.
GGUUAAGCGACUAAGCGUACACGGUGGAUGCCCUGGCAGUCAGAGGCGAUGAAGGACGUGCUAAUCUGCGAAAAGCGUCGGUAAGGUGAUAUGAACCGUUAUAGCCGGCGAUGUCCGAAUGGGGAAACCCAGUGCAAUUCGUUGCACUAUCGUUUGAUGAAUACAUAGUCAAACGAGGCGAACCGGGGGAACUGAAACAUCUAAGUACCCCGAGGAAAAGAAAUCAACCGAGAUUCCCCCAGUAGCGGCGAGCGAACGGGGAGCAGCCCGGAGUCUGAAUCAGCUUGUGUGUUAGUGGAAGCGUCUGGAAAGUCGCAGGGUACAGGGUGAUACUCCCGUACACUAAAACACACAGGCUGUGAACUCGAAGAGUAGGGCGGGACACGUGGUAUCCUGUCUGAAUAUGGGGGGACCAUCCUCCAAGGCUAAAUACUCCUGACUGACCGAUAGUGAACCAGUACCGUGAGGGAAAGGCGAAAAGAACCCCGGCGAGGGGAGUGAAAAAGAACCUGAAACCGUGUACGUACAAGCAGUAGGAGCCCACUAGUUGGGUGACUGCGUACCUUUUGUAUAAUGGGUCAGCGACUUAUAUUCUGUAGCAAGGUUAACCGUAUAGGGGAGCCGCAGGGAAACCGAGUCUUAACUGGGCGUUAAGUUGCAGGGUAUAGACCCGAAACCCGGUGAUCUAGCCAUGGGCAGGUUGAAGGUUGGGUAACACUAACUGGAGGACCGAACCGACUAAUGUUGAAAAAUUAGCGGAUGACUUGUGGCUGGGGGUGAAAGGCCAAUCAAACCGGGAGAUAGCUGGUUCUCCCCGAAAGCUAUUUAGGUAGCGCCUCGUGAACUCAUCUUCGGGGGUAGAGCACUGUUUCGGCUAGGGGGUCAUCCCGACUUACCAACCCGAUGCAAACUACGAAUACCGAAGAAUGUUAUCACGGGAGACACACGGCGGGUGCUAACGUCCGUCGUGAAGAGGGAAACAACCCAGACCGCCAGCUAAGGUCCCAAAGUCAUGGUUAAGUGGGAAACGAUGUGGGAAGGCCCAGACAGCCAGGAUGUUGGCUUAGAAGCAGCCAUCAUUUAAAGAAAGCGUAAUAGCUCACUGGUCGAGUCGGCCUGCGCGGAAGAUGUAACGGGGCUAAACCAUGCACCGAAGCUGCGGCAGCGACACUAUGUGUUGUUGGGUAGGGGAGCGUUCUGUAAGCCGUUGAAGGUGGCCUGUGAGGGUUGCUGGAGGUAUCAGAAGUGCGAAUGCUGACAUAAGUAACGAUAAUGCGGGUGAAAAACCCGCACGCCGGAAGACCAAGGGUUCCUGUCCAACGUUAAUCGGGGCAGGGUGAGUCGACCCCUAAGGCGAGGCCGAAAGGCGUAGUCGAUGGGAAACAGGUUAAUAUUCCUGUACUUGGUGUUACUGCGAAGGGGGGACGGAGAAGGCUAUGUUGGCCGGGCGACGGUUGUCCCGGUUUAAGCAUGUAGGCGGAUGUUCCAGGUAAAUCCGGAACGUCACUAACGCUGAGGUGUGAUGACGAGGCACUACGGUGCUGAAGUGACAAAUGCCCUGCUUCCAGGAAAAGCCUCUAAGCAUCAGGUAACAUCAAAUCGUACCCCAAACCGACACAGGUGGUCAGGUAGAGAAUACCAAGGCGCUUGAGAGAACUCGGGUGAAGGAACUAGGCAAAAUGGUGCCGUAACUUCGGGAGAAGGCACGCUGAUGGUAGGUGAAGUGACUUGCUCAUGGAGCUGAAAUCAGUCGAAGAUACCAGCUGGCUGCAACUGUUUAUUAAAAACACAGCACUGUGCAAACACGAAAGUGGACGUAUACGGUGUGACGCCUGCCCGGUGCCGGAAGGUUAAUUGAUGGGGUUAUCCGUAAGGAGAAGCUCUUGAUCGAAGCCCCGGUAAACGGCGGCCGUAACUAUAACGGUCCUAAGGUAGCGAAAUUCCUUGUCGGGUAAGUUCCGACCUGCACGAAUGGCGUAAUGAUGGCCAGGCUGUCUCCACCCGAGACUCAGUGAAAUUGAACUCGCUGUGAAGAUGCAGUGUACCCGCGGCAAGACGGAAAGACCCCGUGAACCUUUACUAUAGCUUGACACUGAACACUGGUCCUUGAUGUGUAGGAUAGGUGGGAGGCUUUGAAGUGUGGACGCCAGUCUGCAUGGAGCCAUCCUUGAAAUACCACCCUUUAAUGGCUGGUGUUCUAACGUGGGCCCGUGAUCCGGGUUGCGGACAGUGUCUGGUGGGUAGUUUGACUGGGGCGGUCUCCUCCUAAAGAGUAACGGAGGAGCACGAAGGUCAGCUAAUCCUGGUCGGACAUCAGGAGGUUAGUGCAAUGGCAUAAGCUGGCUUGACUGCGAGCGUGACGGCGCGAGCAGGUGCGAAAGCAGGUCAUAGUGAUCCGGUGGUUCUGAAUGGAAGGGCCAUCGCUCAACGGAUAAAAGGUACUCCGGGGAUAACAGGCUGAUACCGCCCAAGAGUUCAUAUCGACGGCGGUGUUUGGCACCUCGAUGUCGGCUCAUCACAUCCUGGGGCUGAAGUAGGUCCCAAGGGUAUGGCUGUUCGCCAUUUAAAGUGGUACGCGAGCUGGGUUUAGAACGUCGUGAGACAGUUCGGUCCCUAUCUGCCGUGGGCGCUGGAGAAUUGAGGGGGGCUGCUCCUAGUACGAGAGGACCGGAGUGGACGCAUCACUGGUGUUCGGGUUGUCAUGCCAAUGGCAUUGCCCGGUAGCUAAAUGCGGAAGAGAUAAGUGCUGAAAGCAUCUAAGCACGAAACUUGCCCCGAGAUGAGUUCUCCCUGACCCUUUAAGGGUCCUGAAGGAACGUUGAAGACGACGACGUUGAUAGGCCGGGUGUGUAAGCGCAGCGAUGCGUUGAGCUAACCGGUACUAAUGAACCGUGAGGCUUAACCUU